RNAcentral lists this ribosomal RNA (771 nucleotides) under uncultured Neocallimastigales. RNAcentral's name for it is "partial large subunit ribosomal RNA". It matches the Rfam family "Eukaryotic large subunit ribosomal RNA", at positions 22 to 644 of the family's 3401-position model. The record is from RNAcentral. Lineage: Eukaryota; Fungi; Neocallimastigomycota; Neocallimastigomycetes; Neocallimastigales.
GUACACGCUGUGACUAGCAUAUCAAUAAGCGGAGGAAAAGAAACUAACAAGGAUUCCCUCAGUAACGGCGAGUGAAGCGGGAAGAGCUCAAAUUUGAAAUCUUGAAAGGUCACCUUUCACGAAUUGUAGUUUAAAGAAGUGUUUUCUGUUACGAUCGUAAUAUAAGUUCUUUGGAAUAGGACAUCACAGAGGGUGAGAAUCCCGUCUAUGAUUGCGAUUUGUAGCUUUGUGAUACACUUUCAAAGAGUCGGGUUGUUUGGGAAUGCAGCCCAAAACGGGAGGUAAAUUUCUUCUAAGGCUAAAUAUUGGCGAGAGACCGAUAGCGAACAAGUACCGUGAGGGAAAGAUGAAAAGAACUUUGAAAAGAGAGUUAAAUAGUACGUGAAAUUGUCAGAAGGGAAGCGUUUGACACCAGUGUUGUUUUCUGAAAAUCAACCUCUGUUAGCUUUAUGCAUGUUUGUUUAGACCUAAUCAGCUAUCUUGCAUGUUCUAUUGUUUGCAGUGGUGCACUUUUCAGUUUACAGGUCAACAUCAGUUUUUUUUACCGUAAAAAAGUUAAAGAAAGGUAGCUCAUGGCUCCGGUCGUGAGUGUUAUAGUCUUUUUCCUAUGCGGUAGGAGAGACUGAGGUCUGCAGUGUAGGCUAUUUGGCUAGAUACUCAGGUGCUAUGUGAUACCAUUCCAUAAACAACUUGUUGAUUAUGUUUUGUCUAUUGCAUACUCGCUUGUACUAUCAUACCUACGCUUAGGAUGUUGAACUACUGAGACAUAGA